AUGUGCAUGAUUUGCUCUGCUUGCUAUCCCUCCACCAUCCCCGCCCUCAGCACUGUGCAUCCCAGCCCUUCUCUCAGCUGGCAAGCACAGGCCCCAGAUGCCAGACUGUGGAAGAUAUUUAUCUGCUACAUCUGGUUCCUUAGCAGAUUCGACAGGCCUCUGUGCUGGCAGCUUCAGAAAUGCCUUUGGGCUUGUCACAUGCUGAAAACUCCCUACUGGCUGUCGGAAUUGGCAACUGUGCUUUGGCUCAAUGAAAAGAUGGGAGAAACACUCUUUUGUCCACCUACUGAUAACCUCUCAUGUGUGGGAGAUACACCGAAAAAGAGCUCAAGAAACUCAACAACAACAAAACAAUCUAGGUAAGAAAUGGGCAAAAGACUUGAACAGACAUUUAUCAAAAGAGGAAAUUAAAAUGGCCAACAGCACAUGAUAACAUGCUCAGCAUCUCUAGCAAUCAAGGAAAUACAAAUCAAAACCACAAUGAGGUUUUACCUUGCCCCAGUUAGAAUGGCUUUCACAAAGAAUUCAACAAACAAUAAAUACUGGCAAGGAUAUGGUCA
This 560-nucleotide long non-coding RNA is filed under the name Oryctolagus cuniculus (rabbit). Its description in RNAcentral is "lncRNA (ENSOCUG00000039232.1)". The record is from RNAcentral. Lineage: Eukaryota; Metazoa; Chordata; Mammalia; Lagomorpha; Leporidae.